GCAGAAUCACUUGAGCUUUGCCAUGCCAUUUGUCAAGUUUAUUUGACAUUUGUCAAGUCAAACACAUGCAUCGUGACAACAAGCAUUUGUCUUCUAGAAGAAUAAGAUAUUUGUCUUUGAAAUUUGGCACUUGUCUUUAAAAUAUUGCCACAGUCUCCCAUUAUUUUAAAGACACAAAAGUAAACUUGCUGGAUUUUUAUGGUCCAAAUGUAAUAGGUUUG
RNAcentral lists this long non-coding RNA (221 nucleotides) under Nicotiana benthamiana. RNAcentral's name for it is "long non-coding RNA (NBEN_LNC017359)". The record is from RNAcentral. Lineage: Eukaryota; Viridiplantae; Streptophyta; Magnoliopsida; Solanales; Solanaceae.